UUUUGCAGAUCAUGAUCCGCUCGAUUAACGGGCAGGAGGGUGGAGGUCCUGCUAUCUCCUCUCUGCAGAUGAGGAGUUCUCUCAUCCGAACCUCACGGCUCAAGGAACAGAAAGCUGGACCAACGGUGGUCAAAUACAGUGGGCGCUUAACUACCUCAUGGGAGUGAAUGGAAAGGAGUUCCCAAGGACCCCGGGUUCUAGCCCCAGGGCCCUGUGGAUGGAUCUCACGUGGAAAGGGGGCUUUGCCUCUCAAGGAUCUGGCGAUGCGGAGAGCAGCCUGGGUUAUCCUGCAGCCACGAGAAUCUAAUACAUUCAUGAAAGGAGCCUGGAGGUGGGUGGCACCGGCGUUGAGAAGGAGGUAAUGACAUCACCCAGGGCCCUGGCUCCUUUCCCUCAGUCAUCCUUGAAUGUUGGCUACUUGUUCUCUGGCUCCUGACCUCACAGUCACAAGACGGCUGCCACUGCUCCAGGCGUCCCAUCCUCACACGACAGCCUCUGAAGCAGAGAGUGAGAAAGGGCAUGGAGUGGCAUCACGGUUCAAAGCUGGCAGCCCCUGGUCCCCAGACUGCACCGGGCCAGUUCCAGCUUCUGGGGCCUGAGAGGCACGGGCCUCGGGUUCCCUGUGAGAAUUGUUCCUGGUGAUAGACCUGUGGGCUCUCUGGGGGCUGAGCGAGAGCCGUCCUAACGGGGAGAUGGCCCAUCCAGGGCCAACACGGCACCUGUGCGUUCUCCCAUCCUCCUUCCCAAGGGAGUCCUGGCCAGGCCCCUCUCCUGUGUCCGAGGAGUCUUGCCAGCCCUCAUGGUCUGUGUCACGAUCUGCAGUAGCUGUCCCAUCAGGGCUGAUCUGGAAGGAGCCUUUCCUCCACAUGGCUUUUCCCAAGUCAGCCCUCAAGUGCUGUGAGCCUGGACCGCGCCCCUGUCCUCCAGGCAGCUGCCUGCACUCCACACCCAUGCGCGUGGCAGCUCUGCGCCCAGCAGCCCUCCUGGUGUGAUUUUUAUUUAUUUACCUGAAUACUGGAACAGCUGCUUUAUUGAGAUUCAUUGGUCGCAAGGCUUAAUUAAAAUAAUGCCACGCGUCUCACUCAGCGUGGGUCACCAAAGCAAAUGUUUGUUUUGCUGCUGUCAGUUAGGGCCACGUGUGAUGAAGCGGCGGCUCCCGGCAGGGAAGGCACGUGGGCCCUGACCCCCUGCACCUCCCUGGGUUGCA
Molecule: long non-coding RNA, 1207 nt
Filed under: Homo sapiens (human)
Lineage: Eukaryota; Metazoa; Chordata; Mammalia; Primates; Hominidae
Description: HSALNT0216631
Source: RNAcentral